AAGUCGAGGGGCAGCAUGGUCUUAGCUUGCUAAGGCCGAUGGCGACCGGCGCACGGGUGAGUAACACGUAUCCAACCUGCCGUCUACUCUUGGACAGCCUUCUGAAAGGAAGAUUAAUACAAGAUGGCAUCAUGAGUCCGCAUGUUCACAUGAUUAAAGGUAUUCCGGUAGACGAUGGGGAUGCGUUCCAUUAGAUAGUAGGCGGGGUAACGGCCCACCUAGUCUUCGAUGGAUAGGGGUUCUGAGAGGAAGGUCCCCCACAUUGGAACUGAGACACGGUCCAAACUCCUACGGGAGGCAGCAGUGAGGAAUAUUGGUCAAUGGGCGAGAGCCUGAACCAGCCAAGUAGCGUGAAGGAUGACUGCCCUAUGGGUUGUAAACUUCUUUUAUAAAGGAAUAAAGUCGGGUAUGCAUACCCGUUUGCAUGUACUUUAUGAAUAAGGAUCGGCUAACUCCGUGCCAGCAGCCGCGAUAAUACGGAGGAUCCGAGCGUUAUCCGGAUUUAUUGGGUUUAAAGGGAGCGUAGAUGGAUGUUUAAGUCAGUUGUGAAAGUUUGCGGCUCAACCGUAAAAUUGCAGUUGAUACUGGAUAUCUUGAGUGCAGUUGAGGCAGGCGGAAUUCGUGGUGUAGCGGUGAAAUGCUUAGAUAUCACGAAGAACUCCGAUUGCGAAGGCAGCCUGCUAAGCUGCAACUGACA
This 697-nucleotide ribosomal RNA is filed under the name uncultured Bacteroidales bacterium. RNAcentral describes it as "bacterial SSU rRNA". It matches the Rfam family "Bacterial small subunit ribosomal RNA", at positions 59 to 745 of the family's 1533-position model. Lineage: Bacteria; Pseudomonadati; Bacteroidota; Bacteroidia; Bacteroidales. The record is from RNAcentral.